Long non-coding RNA from Chiloscyllium plagiosum (whitespotted bambooshark), 1536 nucleotides. RefSeq lists it as uncharacterized. Lineage: Eukaryota; Metazoa; Chordata; Chondrichthyes; Orectolobiformes; Hemiscylliidae. The record is from RefSeq and is a predicted model, not a curated record.
UCAAACACGUUGCCGAUGGUGCACUACAGAAAGCGUAUGAAUGUGUUCCAGCUACUUCCAAUAUUGUCUCUUGACCACCCUCCCCAUCAAAAUGAAACGGCAUUGGUUUUUGCACAGAGGCUAACAGGGAGACAUCUUGCAGGAUGUGGAAGAUGUGUCUAAAGUGCCAAAGAAUGAUGUUCAGGAUACGAUGGGAGCACCCAUUAAAAUGCUGCAAGGCAUCCUGUAUUCGUGGAAAUACGCUUGCAGUUGCUGUAACAAGAAUGUUAACAGGGAUUGCUUCCAACUGUGAAGGGAAAUGAAUGACAAGGGAAGAUUAAACAAGAGCAUGCUCAACCGUCUCAAGAGAAAAAGGUUAAAAGGAGAGCUCAGUAGGUACAUAAAAUACCAAGUGAGAGAGAUGAGGUGAACAACUUCUCUCAAGACAAGUGCGACAUGCCAGAUCAUAGUAAAUAUUCCUUUACUUAAUCACGAAAGAAAUGCAUGGAAAAAGAAAUCACAAGAUAUGACUGAAGAGUCAAAGAUAUGAUAGGCUGGAUGGUCUGGACUUCACAGGGGGGUUGCCACACUCCAGGACUACUCUGGAGUUCUUUUCAUAAUUUUUUUCAUGGGAUGUGGACGUUAGUGGGAGACAAGCAUGUAUUGACCAUCACUAAUUAUCCUUGACAGGCGGUGCCUGUUCAAACCAUUUGAUGUAAAUAAGCCUAUAGUGUUAAUGUCCUGAACACUGCUUCCACCCACCUCUGAAAAAACAAUAUUCAGACAUCCUUUAAUUUUGUUUGAAUGUUUUAAUUUAUGAGUUACUUGGUGGGGAGAGUGGUGCAGGGUGAUGGGAGGGUGAAGUCAUUCUUAUUGACUAGGUUGUCAGGUGGCUGUUCACUGUAAACAGAAUUUCAAUCAGGAUAAUGGAGAAAAGGCGGGGGAAUGGAGUUGAGGAUUCUUAUUGAAUGGUAGUGCAGACUUGAUGGGCCAAAUAGCCUACUUCUGCUCCUGUAUUAUGGCACAGGAAGGCAGAGCACAGUAAGGUUGAUAUAUCAGGUGUCCAAUGGCAGGAGUGUGGUCGGGGUAAGGCAACAAAUAAAUGAGUGUCACAUGACAGUACUUCUGGGAAGAUAACUGAGAACAGUUGGCACAUACUAGUCCAUGGACUACAAAUUGGAUGACACUAUGAUCAUUUAAUAGAAGUGAAGUGGGCACCAAAGUGUCUAAUAGAUCAGUCAAUGUACAUGGUUUAGGGUAGAUCAGUGUGCAUCCGGUGUGCUGGCAAAGAUGGUAAAAAAAGGUGAUCAGAGCCUGUGCUGAAAUAGACAUUUGUAGCUUUGCAUUAUGAAAAUGUGAGGGUCUAACAUUUAUUUGAGGCUCUCUCCUCCUCAGAUCCUGCCAUUUAAGAAACCAUGCUCUACAUGCACAUUAGCAAACUACCCUUAAAAAGACCAAUGAGAGUUUCUACCAGGGAAAUCUUUCAAAAUUAAUUUGUGUGAGGUAGGUGUUGCCAGCAUUUAUUACCCAUCCCUAACUGCCCUUUCAACUGAAUGG